This 462-nucleotide ribosomal RNA is filed under the name uncultured Actinomycetes bacterium. RNAcentral's name for it is "bacterial SSU rRNA". It matches the Rfam family "Bacterial small subunit ribosomal RNA", at positions 355 to 827 of the family's 1533-position model. Lineage: Bacteria; Bacillati; Actinomycetota; Actinomycetes. The record is from RNAcentral.
UGGGGAAUAUUGCGCAAUGGGCGCAAGCCUGAUGCAGCAACGCCGCGUGCGGGAUGACGGCCUUCGGGUUGUAAACCGCUUUCAGUUCCGACGAAGCGCAAGUGACGGUAGGAACAGAAGAAGGACCGGCCAACUACGUGCCAGCAGCCGCGGUGAUACGUAGGGUCCGAGCGUUGUCCGGAAUUAUUGGGCGUAAAGGGCUUGUAGGCGGUUUGUUGCGUCGGAAGUGAAACUCAGGGCUUAACCCUGAGCCUGCUUCCGAUACGGGCAAACUAGAGGGAUGCAGGGGAGAAUGGAAUUCCUGGUGGAGCGGUGGAAUGCGCAGAUAUCAGGAGGACACCGGUGGCGAAGGCGGUUCUCUGGGCAGUUUCCUGACGCUGAGAAGCGAAAGCGUGGGGAGCGAAACAGGGCUUAGGAUACCCUGGUAGUCCACGCCGUAAACGGUGGGCACUAGGUGUGGGG